Molecule: ribosomal RNA, 698 nt
Filed under: uncultured organism
Description: bacterial SSU rRNA
Rfam family: Bacterial small subunit ribosomal RNA
Source: RNAcentral
AGGCCUAACACAUGCAAGUCGAGGGGUAACGAUUGCUUCGGCCAGGCGACGACCGGCGCACGGGUGAGUAACGCGUUUGUAACCUACCUCUGUCUGGAGAAUAGCGCGAAGAAAUUCGGAUUAAUGCUCCGUAACACCAUGAUGAGGCAUCUCGUCAUGGUCAAAGCUCCGGCGGUCAGAGAUGGACAUGCGUAACAUUAGCUUGUUGGUGAGGUUACGGCUCACCAAUGCUACGAUGUUUAGGGGGUCUGAGAGGAUGGUCCCCCACACUGGUACUGAGACACGGACCAGACUUCUACGGAAGGCAGCAGUGAGGAAUAUUGGUCAAUGGGCGAAAGCCUGAACCAGCCAUGCCGCGUGAAGGAGGACAGCCCUACGGGUUGUAAACUUCUUUUGUACGGGAAGAAACACUUCUACGUGUAGAAGCUUGACGGUACCGUACGAAUAAGCAUCGGCUAACUCCGUGCCAGCAGCCGCGGUAAUACGGAGGAUGCAAGCGUUAUCCGGAUUCAUAGGGUUUAAAGGGUACGUAGGCGGAAGAUUAAGUCAGUGGUGAAAUCCUGCAGCUUAACUGUAGAACUGUCAUUGAUACUGAUCUUCUUGAAUAUAGUUGAGGUAGGCGGAAUGUGUCAUGUAGCGGUGAAAUGCUUAGAUAUAACACAGAACACCGAUUGCAAAGGCAGCUUACUAAACUAUGA